GACGAACGCUGGCGGCGUGCCUAAUACAUGCAAGUUGAGCGCUGAAGGUUGGUACUUGUACCGACUGGAUGAGCAGCGCACGGGUGAGUAACGCGUGGGGAAUCUGCCUUUGAGCGGGGGACAACAUUUGGAAACGAAUGCUAAUACCGCAUAAAAACUUUAAACACAAGUUUUAAGUUUGAAAGAUGCAAUUGCAUCACUCAAAGAUGAUCCCGCGUUGUAUUAGCUAGUUGGUGAGGUAAAGGCUCACCAAGGCGAUGUUACAUAGCCGACCUGAGAGGGUGAUCGGCCACAUUGGGACUGAGACACGGCCCAAACUCCUACGGGAGGCAGCAGUAGGGAAUCUUCGGGCAUGGGCGAAAGUCUGACCGAGCAACGCCGCGGGAGUGAAGAAGGUUGUCGGAUCGUAAAACUCGGUUGGUAGGGAAGAACGUGGGUGAGAGUGGAAAGCUCAUCAAGUGACGGUAACUACCCAGAAAGGGACGGCUAACUACGUG
RNAcentral lists this ribosomal RNA (497 nucleotides) under uncultured bacterium. RNAcentral's name for it is "partial 16S ribosomal RNA". It matches the Rfam family "Bacterial small subunit ribosomal RNA", at positions 28 to 507 of the family's 1533-position model. The record is from RNAcentral.